This 482-nucleotide ribosomal RNA is filed under the name uncultured bacterium. Its description in RNAcentral is "bacterial SSU rRNA". It matches the Rfam family "Bacterial small subunit ribosomal RNA", at positions 30 to 507 of the family's 1533-position model. The record is from RNAcentral.
AUUGAACGCUGGCGGCAUGCCUUACACAUGCAAGUCGAACGGUAACAGGUCUUCGGAUGCUGACGAGUGGCGAACGGGUGAGUAAUACAUCGGAACGUGCCCGAUCGUGGGGGAUAACGCAGCGAAAGCUGUGCUAAUACCGCAUACGAUCUACGGAUGAAAGCGGGGGAUACGCAAGACCUCGCGCGGACGGAGCGGCCGAUGGCAGAUUAGGUAGUUGGUGGGAUAAAGCUUACCAAGCCGACGAUCUGUAGCUGGUCUGAGAGGACGACCAGCCACACUGGGACUGAGACACGGCCCAGACUCCUACGGGAGGCAGCAGUGGGGAAUUUUGGACAAUGGGCGAAAGCCUGAUCCAGCAAUGCCGCGUGCAGGAUGAAGGCCUUCGGGUUGUAAACUGCUUUUGUACGGAACGAAAAGACUCUGGUUAAUACCUGGGGUUCAUGACGGUACCGUAAGAAUAAGCACCGGCUAACUACGUG